Lagenorhynchus albirostris (white-beaked dolphin) is the source of this 3134-nucleotide RNA transcript. It is a transcript of the gene named acyl-CoA dehydrogenase family member 11, with no coding region annotated. The transcript is spliced from 21 exons. NCBI's taxonomy places the organism in Eukaryota, Metazoa, Chordata, Mammalia, Artiodactyla, Delphinidae. The record is from RefSeq and is a predicted model, not a curated record.
CUAGCCCUAGGCUGUGGAGCGGCGCUCCGGUGCCAGAGGUAUCCGAGCCGAGGAGACUUGUGGUUUCUCUGACUCUAUGGUCUGAGGCGGCAGCACUGAUCAUGGAGACCGGUGCCUCCCGCGAGCCCGAGACGGCCGAAGUGCUGCCCCAGCACAAGUUCGACUGCAGGUCUCUGGAGGCCUACCUACACCAGCACUUGCCCGGCUUUGGGGCCGAGCCCGAGGCCAAGCUGACCGUUGCCCAAUACAGAUCAGGACAGUCCAAUCCAACCUUUUAUCUCCAGAAGGGCUUUCAGGCAUAUGUACUCAGAAAAAAACCACCUGGUUCACUUCUUCCUAAAGCACAUAAGAUUGAUAGAGAAUUUAAAGUCCAGAAAACUUUGUUUUCAAUUGGAUUCCCCGUUCCCAAACCUUUAUUGUACUGCAGUGAUGCUUGUGUCAUUGGAACAGAAUUUUAUGUGAUGGAACAUGUACAGGGCCGAAUCUUUCGUGAUUUCACAAUUCCUGAAGUUAGCCCAGCAGAACGCUCAGCCAUAUAUGUGGCCAUGAUAGAAACCUUGGCUCAGUUACAUUCCUUGAAUAUACAGUCACUGCAGCUGGAAGAAUAUGGUAGAGGUGCUGGGUACUGCAAAAGACAGGUAUCAACCUGGACAAAGCAAUAUCAAGCUGCAGCUCAUCAGGACAUCCCUGCCAUGAACCAACUAUCUGACUGGCUAAUGAAAAACUUGCCAGAUAAUGACAAUGAAGAAAAUUUGAUUCAUGGAGAUUUCAAACUAGAUAACAUAGUUUUCCACCCUAAAGAGUCUCGAGUUGUAGCUGUACUAGAUUGGGAGCUUUCAACCAUUGGUCAUCCUCUGUCAGACUUGGCUCAUCUCUCUAUGUUCUACUUUUGGCCAAGGACCAUUCCAUUGUUAAGUCAAAGUCCUCAUUUGCAAGAAAACAUAGGGGUACCAUCAAUGGAAGAACUGAUUUCAAUAUAUUGCCGCUGCAGGGGAAUUAAUUCUAAUCUUCCUAACUGGAAUUUCUUUCUUGCCCUUUCAUAUUUUAAAAUUGCUGGAAUAGCACAGGGAGUAUAUAGUAGAUAUCUUCUGGGAAAUAAUGCAUCUGAAAGUAGCUUUCAGUUUGCCAAUAUUGUGCAACCUCUGGCAGAAACUGGAUUACAACUCUCAAAAAGAACUUUCAGUACUGCACUUCCACAGACUGAUACUACCAGACAAUUGUUUGUACAGACUAGGACAGGCCACGAAGUUCUUACUAGGGUGAAGCAGUUCAUGAAACAACACAUCCUCCCAGCUGAAAAGGAGGUAAUUGAGUUCUAUGUUCAAAAUGAAAAUUCAGUAGACAAGUGGAAAAAACCUUUAGUGAUUGAUAAACUCAAGGAAAUGGCCAAAGCAGAAGGCCUCUGGAACUUGUUUUUGCCAGCUGUAAGCGGUCUCAGCCAAGUAGACUAUGCCUUGAUUGCUGAAGAAACAGGAAAAUGCUUUUUUGCUCCAGAUGUCUUUAACUGCCAAGCACCAGACACAGGGAACAUGGAGGUGCUUCACCUAUAUGGAAGUGAGAAACAGAAGCAGCAGUGGCUUGAGCCUCUUCUUCAAGGGAGCAUUGCCUCUUGCUUCUGUAUGACAGAGCCCGAUGUAGCUUCAAGUGAUGCCACAAAUAUUGAAUGUAGCAUCCAGCAAGAUGGAGAUAGCUAUAUAAUUAACGGCAAGAAAUGGUGGUGCACUGGAGCUGGGAAUCCAAAGUGCAAAAUUGCAAUUGUUAUGGGAAAAAGUAACAAUAACUGUGUAACCAGACACAAACAACACAGCAUGAUUCUUGUUCCCAUCAACACACCUGGAGUAGAAGUAAUAAGGCCCUUGUCUGUUUUUGGCUACCUGGACAAUUUCCAUGGAGGACAUUUUGAGAUCCAUUUUAAUCAAGUGCGAGUUCCUGCCACCAAUCUAAUACUAGGUGAAGGUAGGGGAUUUGAAAUUGCCCAAGGCCGCCUUGGACCUGGCAGAAUCCACCACUGUAUGAGAACAAUAGGUUUGGCUGAACGUGCUUUGCAGAUCAUGUGUGAACGGGCAAAACAAAGGGUGGCCUUUAAGAAGAAACUGUAUUCACAUGAGGUGGUGGCUCACUGGAUCUCUGAAAGCCGCAUUGCCAUUGAGGAGAUCCGCUUGUUGACCUUGAAAGCUGCCCAUAGCAUUGAUACUCUGGGCAGCUCUGGUGCUAAGAAGGAGAUUGCAAUGAUUAAAGUGGCUGCUCCUCGGGCCGUCUGCAAAAUUAUUGACCAGGCCAUCCAAGUGUGUGGAGGUGCCGGCGUUUCCCAUGAAUACCCUCUGGCUAACAUGUAUGCCCUAACGCGAACUUUGCGCUUAGCAGAUGGGCCCGAUGAAGUUCACCUCUCGGCAGUUGCAAAAAUGGAGCUGUGGGACCAAGCCAGAAGCCUGAGGGCCAAGGUGUAGAAUUCAUCGGCUCCAGCAUUUGUAUCUCAUUCAGCUUUUGCAGCAGUUUAAGCACAGGAUUAAUUACUCACUUUGGCCUCUCACUGUUGUGGCCUCCCCCAUUGCGGAGCACAGGCUCCGGAGGCACAGGCUCAGUGGCCAUGGCUCACAGGCCCAGCCGCUCCACGGCAUGUGGGAUCCUCCCGGACCGGGGCACGAACCCGCGUCCCCUGAAUCGGCAGGCGGACUCUCAACCACUGCGCCACCAGGAAAGCCCGGCAAUUUUUUUUAAAUUUUCAAAUGAAAGUAUUUUGAGUUUGGAAAGCUUUAAAACUGUUUUAUUAGAAAGCAUACACAUCACAUGAAUCUAUUGAUGCGUAGAGAUUAUUUCAAUCAUUAUUUAAAUGUCAUCUUGGAGUGGGGUUGGACCAGACAUUUACAAAGCCCAUGUCAUGUGGGCUUUGUAAACAUUUGCCUUUGAGCCUUAACCUCGCUGCACCUUGUAUUUCUUUUUGUACGUUGGGAUUAACUUUUAAACCUAGAAGACCCAUAUCUACUGAGGGCUUGUGUGGGAAUCACUGAAGCCAUAUAGAAGCACUUUGAUACUUGUGAACCACAAUAAAGUACUUUAUAAGGCAUCCUUAUUUAAAGUGGAUAAAAUCUUAUAACCCAAGCUGGUCAACCUUAUUAUUAGUUUUAAAAGCUGUG